RNAcentral lists this ribosomal RNA (376 nucleotides) under uncultured bacterium. Its description in RNAcentral is "bacterial SSU rRNA". It matches the Rfam family "Bacterial small subunit ribosomal RNA", at positions 524 to 898 of the family's 1533-position model. The record is from RNAcentral.
GACGGAGGGUGCAAGCGUUGUUCGGAAUCACUGGGCGUAAAGCGCGUGUAGGCGGCUUGACAAGUCGAAUGUGAAAGCCCGGGGCUCAACCUCGGAAGUGCAUUCGAAACUGUCAGGCUUGAGUACGGGAGAGGGAAGUGGAAUUCCUGGUGUAGAGGUGAAAUUCGUAGAUAUCAGGAGGAACACCGGUGGCGAAGGCGGCUUCCUGGACCGAUACUGACGCUGAGACGCGAAAGCGUGGGGAGCAAACAGGAUUAGAUACCCUGGUAGUCCACGCCGUAAACUGUGAGCGCUAGGUGUAGCGGGUAUUGACCCCUGCUGUGCCGCAGCUAACGCAUUAAGCGCUCCGCCUGGGGAGUACGGUCGCAAGAUUAAA